ACUCCUACGGGAGGCAGCAGUGGGGAAUAUUGCACAAUGGGGGAAACCCUGAUGCAGCCAUGCCGCGUGUGUGAAGAAGGCCUUCGGGUUGUAAAGCACUUUCAGUAGGGAGGAAGGUAGUGUAGUUAACACCUGCAUUAUUUGACGUUACCUACAGAAGAAGCACCGGCUAACUCCGUGCCAGCAGCCGCGGUAAUACGGAGGGUGCGAGCGUUAAUCGGAAUUACUGGGCGUAAAGCGCAUGCAGGCGACCUGUUAAGUCAGAUGUGAAAGCCCGGGGCUUAACCUCGGAAUUGCAUUUGAAACUGGCAGGCUAGAGUCUUGUAGAGGGGGGUAGAAUUUCAGGUGUAGCGGUGAAAUGCGUAGAGAUCUGAAGGAAUACCAGUGGCGAAGGCGGCCCCCUGGACAAAGACUGACGCUCAGAUGCGAAAGCGUGGGGAGCAAACAGGAUUAGAUACCCUGGUAGGAUAGCG
This 473-nucleotide ribosomal RNA is filed under the name uncultured bacterium. RNAcentral's name for it is "bacterial SSU rRNA". It matches the Rfam family "Bacterial small subunit ribosomal RNA", at positions 335 to 799 of the family's 1533-position model. The record is from RNAcentral.